Papio anubis (olive baboon) is the source of this 148-nucleotide unclassified non-coding RNA. It matches the Rfam family "Metazoan signal recognition particle RNA". From Rfam's summary of the family: The signal recognition particle (SRP) is a universally conserved ribonucleoprotein. It is involved in the co-translational targeting of proteins to membranes. The eukaryotic SRP consists of a 300-nucleotide 7S RNA and six proteins: SRPs 72, 68, 54, 19, 14, and 9. The record is from Ensembl. NCBI's taxonomy places the organism in Eukaryota, Metazoa, Chordata, Mammalia, Primates, Cercopithecidae.
GCCGGGUGUGGUGGCGCACGCCUGUAGUCCCAGCUACUCAGGAGGCUGAGGCAGGAGAAUUGCUUGAACCCAGGAGGCGGAGGUUGCAGUGAGCCGAGGUCAUGCCACUGCAGUACAGCCUGGGUGACAGGGUGAGACUCUGUCUCCA